This 392-nucleotide ribosomal RNA is filed under the name uncultured bacterium. Its description in RNAcentral is "bacterial SSU rRNA". It matches the Rfam family "Bacterial small subunit ribosomal RNA", at positions 28 to 420 of the family's 1533-position model. The record is from RNAcentral.
GACGAACGCUGGCGGCGUGCUUAACACAUGCAAGUCGAGCGGUAAGGCCCUUUCGGGGGUACACGAGCGGCGAACGGGUGAGUAACACGUGGGUGACCUGCCUCUAGCUCUGGGAUAAGCCUGGGAAGCUGGGUCUAAUACCGGAUAUGACCUCGCGGUGCAUGUUGCGGGGUGGAAAGCCUUGUGCGGCUAGGGGAUGGGCCCGCGGCCUAUCAGCUUGUUGGUGGGGUGANGGCCUACCAAGGCGACGACGGGUAGCCGGCCUGAGAGGGCGACCGGCCACACUGGGACUGAGACACGGCCCAGACUCCUACGGGAGGCAGCAGUGGGGAAUCUUGCGCAAUGGGCGAAAGCCUGACGCAGCGACGCCGCGUGAGGGAUGACGGCCUCGG